This 253-nucleotide ribosomal RNA is filed under the name uncultured bacterium. RNAcentral's name for it is "partial 16S ribosomal RNA". It matches the Rfam family "Bacterial small subunit ribosomal RNA", at positions 524 to 776 of the family's 1533-position model. The record is from RNAcentral.
UACGAAGGGGGCUAGCGUUGCUCGGAAUUACUGGGCGUAAAGGGAGCGUAGGCGGAUAGUUUAGUCAGAGGUGAAAGCCCAGGGCUCAACCUUGGAAUUGCCUUUGAUACUGGCUAUCUUGAGUGUGGGAGAGGUAUGUGGAACUCCGAGUGUAGAGGUGAAAUUCGUAGAUAUUCGGAAGAACACCAGUGGCGAAGGCGACAUACUGGCCCAUUACUGACGCUGAGGCUCGAAAGCGUGGGGAGCGAACAGG